CGGGGGCUCACACAAGCGGUGGAGCAUGUGGAUCAAUUCGAAGCAACGCGAAGAACCUUACCUGGGCUUGACAUGCACGGAUGCUCUUCCUGAAAGGGGAGUAGGCUGCCUUCGGGUGAAACGUGCACAGGUGCUGCAUGGCUGUCGUCAGCUCGUGCUGUGAAGUGUCGGGUUAAGUCCCAUAACGAGCGAAACCCCUGUCGCUAGUUGCCAGCGGGUCAUGCCGGGUACUCUAGCGAGACUGCCGGUGUCAAACCGGAGGAAGGUGGGGAUGACGUCAAGUCAUCAUGGCCUUUAUGUCCAGGGUGUCACACGUGCUACAAUGGGGCGGUACAGAGCGA
This 341-nucleotide ribosomal RNA is filed under the name uncultured bacterium. RNAcentral's name for it is "bacterial SSU rRNA". It matches the Rfam family "Bacterial small subunit ribosomal RNA", at positions 914 to 1247 of the family's 1533-position model. The record is from RNAcentral.